RNAcentral lists this ribosomal RNA (423 nucleotides) under uncultured bacterium. RNAcentral's name for it is "partial 16S ribosomal RNA". It matches the Rfam family "Bacterial small subunit ribosomal RNA", at positions 360 to 775 of the family's 1533-position model. The record is from RNAcentral.
AAUAUUGGACAAUGGGGGCAACCCUGAUCCAGCCAUGCCGCGUGUGUGAAGAAGGUCAUCGGAUUGUAAAGCACUUUAAGGUGGGAGAAAGGGCUUUAGGCUAAUACCCUGAAGUUGUGACGUUACCAUCAGAAUAAGCACCGUCUCACUCUGACCCAUGAGCCGCGGUUAUACAGAGGGUGAAAGCGUUAAGCGGAAUUAAUGGGCGUAAGUCGCGCGUAGGGGGGUCAGUAAGAUGGGUGUGAAAUCCCCGGGCUUAACCUGGGAACUGCUUUCAUAACUGCUGAGCUAGAGUACGGUAGAGGGUAGUGGAAUUUCCUGUGUAGCGGUGAAAUGCGUAGAUAGAGGAAGGAACACCAGUGGCGAAGGCGACUACCUGGACUGAUACUGACACUGAGGUGCGAAAGCGUGGGGAGCAAACAG